Molecule: non-coding RNA, 72 nt
Organism: Phrynosoma platyrhinos (Desert horned lizard)
Lineage: Eukaryota; Metazoa; Chordata; Lepidosauria; Squamata; Phrynosomatidae
Source: the annotation of a GenBank genome assembly
GCCAGUGUGGCAAAGUGGUUUGAGUGCUGGACUGUGACUUUGGAGAUCAGGGUUCAAAUUCCUGCUCAGCCA